GGGAAUAUAGCUCAGUUGGUAGAGUGCUUGCCUCAAAUACACAAGGCCCUGGGUUCAAUCCCCAGCCUGACCA
This 73-nucleotide transfer RNA is filed under the name Ictidomys tridecemlineatus (thirteen-lined ground squirrel). RNAcentral's name for it is "Spermophilus tridecemlineatus (thirteen-lined ground squirrel) tRNA". It matches the Rfam family "tRNA". From Rfam's summary of the family: Transfer RNA (tRNA) molecules are approximately 80 nucleotides in length. Their secondary structure includes four short double-helical elements and three loops (D, anti-codon, and T loops). The record is from Rfam by way of RNAcentral. Lineage: Eukaryota; Metazoa; Chordata; Mammalia; Rodentia; Sciuridae.